AGAUCAUAGACUACAGCGAGGGUUUGAGCAUGCCGCUUAGCAUGGAUGUGCAUUCAACAAAGCCUUGGAUAUUGCUAUGCCAUGUCGAUGGCGAAGUCUCUAUUUGGAACCACCAGAACCAGGUUAAAGGGGCACAAGGACUAAAAAUAUGUAUAAGUUCAUUGGUGCAGAAAUAGAGCAUAUGGAUUCUGGAAGAUUGAAAAAAAA
Molecule: non-coding RNA, 207 nt
Organism: Lolium perenne
Lineage: Eukaryota; Viridiplantae; Streptophyta; Magnoliopsida; Poales; Poaceae
Source: RefSeq, a predicted model, not a curated record